AUGCGGACCGCUCUGCUUCUCGCGGUGUUCUCGUGCUUUUCUCUUAUCGAGGGAAAGCCAUUCGAAGAUAAAACGUGUGUUGGAAUUCGCAGAGAAGAUUCUUCUUAUGACUUUGACCUGCCCGACGCUGUGGCCGUGAACUUGCAAGACCUCACCUGUGAUGCAGAGUGGACCAUUGAUCGAUUCACAGCUAUCCUGGAUGGAAAUUCAGCAUACUUUUCUCAUCCCUUCAAAAACGUAACCCGUAAUGGAAUCAGUGUGACUUACUGUCCAUUUUCAGUCAUAUUCCAUGCCUCUUGUCCUAAUUAUGUCAAUCACCUUACAUGUUCUUGCACCAAUUCCACCAGCAUCUAUCCAGUGUUUAGCACAACUCUGCCAUCUAGAGAUGCUGCCAUUGCUGUUGCUGCCAUUUUUGUCAUAACCCUUGUCAUUUUGGCUUUCCACUCUGCAAGCACAGCGAAAUAUGCUCCUGAAGGACAAAACCAGCCUGGUUCAGUAGAAUGA
Long non-coding RNA from Cyprinus carpio (common carp), 504 nucleotides. NCBI's taxonomy places the organism in Eukaryota, Metazoa, Chordata, Actinopteri, Cypriniformes, Cyprinidae. The record is from Ensembl.